This 270-nucleotide ribosomal RNA is filed under the name uncultured bacterium. RNAcentral describes it as "partial 16S ribosomal RNA". It matches the Rfam family "Bacterial small subunit ribosomal RNA", at positions 70 to 339 of the family's 1533-position model. The record is from RNAcentral.
AACGAUGGGAGCUUGCUCCCAGGCGUCGAGCGGCGGACGGGUGAGUAACGCGUAGGAAUCUACCCAGUAGAGGGGGAUAGCCCGGGGAAACUCGGAUUAAUACCGCAUACGCCCUAAGGGGGAAAGGCCGGGAUCUUCGGACCGGUCGCUAUUGGAUGAGCCUGCGUAAGAUUAGCUUGUUGGUGGGGUAAAGGCCUACCAAGGCGACGAUCUUUAGCUGGUCUGAGAGGACGAUCCGCCACAUUGGGACUGAGACACGGCCCAAACUCC